This 316-nucleotide long non-coding RNA is filed under the name Homo sapiens (human). RNAcentral describes it as "non-protein coding CYP1B1-AS1:8". Lineage: Eukaryota; Metazoa; Chordata; Mammalia; Primates; Hominidae. The record is from RNAcentral.
CGCGACUUGAGCUUGCUUCCCGGAAAGCCAGUGUAGUGGCAGCGGUUUGCCUCACAGCGCCCCUGGCAGCACUGAGAAGUGAAGGAAUAUUUGGGAGGAUCAGAAGCUUGGUCCUGAUUUUGCCAUCAACAGGAACUUGAUGACUUCAAGGGAGUCCCCAAACCCUGGGUUUCUGUUUUCUCAACUCUAACAUGAGGGGCUAGAUGCAUCUGGUUUAGUUAGUCUCCAUGAUGGUUUAGUUCGUCUCCAUGAUCCUGUGAAUUUCAGAUGUUGAAAAUCUUCGGAAAAGCCCUGAAAGAUGAACAGUGGUCUCAAA